CAAGUCUGGUGCCAGCAGCCGCGGUAAUUCCAGCUCCAAUAGCGUAUAUUAAAAUUGUUGCAGUUAAAACGCUCGUAGUUGAAUUUCAAAGAAUCGAUAUUUUAAGUAAUGCUUUGUAUAUAUAUAACAAAGUUGUACGUUAAGACCGCCAAGCGUUAUAUUCUUUCUGUUACAUUUUGUAAUAUUAAUAUAUAUAUGCGUUCUUAUUAUAAAAAUGAUUCUUUUUAAAAUUUUUUUGUUUAAUUUUUUAUGCAUGGGAAUUUUGUUACUUUGAGUAAAUUAGAGUGUUCAAAGCAAACAGUUAAAGCAUUUUCUGCGUUUGAAUACUACAACAUGGGAUAACAAAAUUGAACAAGUCAAAAUUUCUGAAAAUGUUCUUUUUUCUUAUUUUGGCUUAGUUACGAUUAAUAGGAGUAGCUU
RNAcentral lists this ribosomal RNA (420 nucleotides) under Plasmodium sp. Its description in RNAcentral is "partial small subunit ribosomal RNA". It matches the Rfam family "Eukaryotic small subunit ribosomal RNA", at positions 556 to 884 of the family's 1831-position model. The record is from RNAcentral. Lineage: Eukaryota; Apicomplexa; Aconoidasida; Haemosporida; Plasmodiidae.